UUAAUACUCCCAUCAUCCGGAAAAGCUUGUCUCAAGCUUGUUUCUCAAAUGGAUGUAUCUAGCACUAAUUUGAUGCUAAAUACAUCCAUUUGAGGGACAAGCUUUUUCGGACGGAAGGAGUACAAC
This is a non-coding RNA of Triticum aestivum (bread wheat), 126 nucleotides long. The record is from Rfam. Lineage: Eukaryota; Viridiplantae; Streptophyta; Magnoliopsida; Poales; Poaceae.